AGUUUUUCAACAAAAUAAUGACGGGGCGUUUCCUGAAAGUAUGUACUGCGUGAGUCAUAACAGGUCUUGAGGUUCUUGCUUGAAUUUCCAGACAAUACCUUUCAUUCACAUUUAUCUUACUACCGGCAGAGAAGUGGACAUUACUUAUAAUAUUUAUGGACACGACGCGUCCUCGGUUUGCGGCUGGAGAAGGCAUGCAGCUUACCCGCUAAUAUACUCACCAAGAAGCCGCGCUUCAGUAACAAGGGGUGAUCCUCGAAGCUGCGGGUUGGGCCUGGAGCCAACAACUCCUCACCGCAAAAAAACAACGUGUUACGAUACAUUAAAAAUGGCUAUGGUCUACACAAUGAAAACAAAAAUACGGCUGAACGUAUUUAGCUGUAAAAUGAAGACGCGAUGUGAUCGUUUGCGACAGACCUCGGAAUGCAGCCGCGUACAGGGCGGACACGCGUGCACGUAAUGACCCGGCACAGACACGACAGUCAUGGCAAAAUUAUUUAUCUCUAUAUUUAUUUCAUUCAGUUCCGUCUUUAUCCUUUAUUUCAAUACUUGUUCCUUGGACCGCUCCUCAUUUAUCUUCCCUUUAAACAACCUCUUGAUUUUUUAUUUCUCGUUUCUUGAUUUCUACUGUUUUCUUUUUUUAUUCAUUAUAUCUUUAUUAUUUCCUUCUUUCUUGUCCUCUCUUUAACUCCUUGCUUGUUUAUUUUAUGUCUUAUUUAUUUCUUUAUGGCUUUCUCUUCAUUAACUUAAUCUUCAUUCUUAUUCAUUUUUCUCAUUGUUUCUAUGUCUAUUUUAAUUCUUCUUUCUCUUUUGCAUUCUUUUUUCUCUAGAAAUUCAUCUUAUUGUAUUUAUUUCCUUAUUUCUAUUUCGUCCCUUCUUCCUACAUACACUGUAUUCCUUAUUUCCAUCCUGUACUUCUGUUUUUAUUCUUUGCUUAUUUUAAAUUUCCUGUUACUUUUCUCACAUCGGCAACCGCCUUUAAUGAAAUUAAUACACCUAAAGAGAAGUUUCUUGAGUUAUUAUCAACAAAUCUCAGCUGAACAUAUUACGUAACUUGCAGCAAACGGAGAAAAGAUUAUGAGCGGUGGGAUGGAAAACAUCUGGAAAAAGGCGGUAAAAGCACAUUUCAACUUGAAACACUGAAACACAUUCUAAACCGACAUGGAACGAGCGUCCAUUUUCUGAGAAACUAUCCAGAGUUGGAAAAGCACAUCAGAACGGUUGUUCUGAAAAUGCGAAAUACGUAAUUUAUGACGGUGAGUAAUGAAUUGGAAAGGAUGUGGAAGGAAGCGUUCGUGGCAUAAUUGAAGGUAUUAUCCUGACAUUUACCUGGGGGACUUCGAAAAUCCAGUCAGGAUACCCGGUCUCCGGGAGGACAUUUGAAACCAGACCUCCCGAAUAUCAAGCAGAAGAGCUACCCACUACACUACGACGUUCAGUACAGCCAUCAAGCAGCAAAGACAGACAAAUGCGAAUAACAGUCCUUAGUUUUUCAAUCAUAAUGUUAAGUUUGAGCAGAUGUUUUAUUGAUUAAAAUGUUUUCAACGUU
Zootermopsis nevadensis is the source of this 1549-nucleotide non-coding RNA. Lineage: Eukaryota; Metazoa; Arthropoda; Insecta; Blattodea; Termopsidae. The record is from RefSeq and is a predicted model, not a curated record.